Molecule: non-coding RNA, 211 nt
Filed under: Staphylococcus aureus
Lineage: Bacteria; Bacillati; Bacillota; Bacilli; Caryophanales; Staphylococcaceae
Description: Staphylococcus sRNA 35 (srn_0335)
Rfam family: Staphylococcus sRNA 35 (srn_0335)
About the family: Other name: Srn_0335, SAOUHSCs258. Northern blot transcript confirmed in exponentially growing and stationary cells in three cultivation media.
Source: RNAcentral
ACUUAAAAAUAGGAGGGAGUGGGACAGAAAUGAUAUUUUCGCAAAAUUUAUUUCGUCGUCCCACCCCAACUUGCAUUGUUUGUAGAAUUUCUUUUCGAAAUUCUCUUUGUUGGGGCCCCUGACUAGAAUUGAAAAAAGCUUGUUACAAGCGCAUUUUCGUUCAGUCAACUACUGCCAAUAUAACUUCAUAGAGCAUAGAACAUUGAUUUCU